This 227-nucleotide long non-coding RNA is filed under the name Lathyrus oleraceus (garden pea). Its description in RNAcentral is "Pisum sativum (pea) long non-coding RNA (PSAT_LNC006928)". Lineage: Eukaryota; Viridiplantae; Streptophyta; Magnoliopsida; Fabales; Fabaceae. The record is from RNAcentral.
AAAAGGGUCCUAGGUACUCCUAGGGAACCCUUUUUUUGUGCAUAUGCUUUUGGGUAUAAAAGAUGUUUUAUAAAAUAUAGAGUGUAGGUAUGAGAAAAGAAUUCAUUAAUUAUAUUUUUGUGUUUGACAAGGCCUUCGGUCUUAUGCUUACGUACCAAAAUAAAAAUGAGGGAUCAAAACCCUGUAGUUCGUGGUAAAAAUUUCAAAGAAGUUGGUGAAUUGAUUUU